GACAGAGGGUGCAAACGUUGCUCGGAAUUACUGGGCGUAAAGGGCGUGUAGGCGGGCAGGUAAGUCGGGCGUGAAAUCCCUGGGCUCAACCCAGGAACUGCACUCGAAACUACUUGCCUUGAGUGCCGGAGAGGAAAGCGGAAUCCUGGUGUAGAGGUGAAAUCGUAGAUAUCAGGGAGGAACACCAGUGGCGAAGGCGGCUUUCUGG
RNAcentral lists this ribosomal RNA (208 nucleotides) under uncultured bacterium. RNAcentral's name for it is "partial 16S ribosomal RNA". It matches the Rfam family "Bacterial small subunit ribosomal RNA", at positions 524 to 732 of the family's 1533-position model. The record is from RNAcentral.